Impatiens glandulifera is the source of this 551-nucleotide long non-coding RNA. RefSeq lists it as uncharacterized. Lineage: Eukaryota; Viridiplantae; Streptophyta; Magnoliopsida; Ericales; Balsaminaceae. The transcript has 3 exons. The record is from RefSeq and is a predicted model, not a curated record.
CUGGAAAAUUGUCUUUCAUUAAUAAAAUUCUCUUAAAAAGAGCUAGAGAACUCUACGACAGGCUUUUGGAUAGAACAAAGCAUGUUAAGGUUUGAAUUAGUUAUGCUGAAUUCGAGGCGUCUGCUGAGGAAAGCCUGGACUCAGCCGAAUGCCUUGAACGAAGCAAAGGAAUAUUUGAGAGAGCCAUAAAUCACCAUUUUUGAACAUCAGCCCCGGAUCUGAAAGAAGAGAGAGAUAUGCUGUUGGAGAAGUGGUUGGAUGUUGAACGCAAAUUUGGAGAGUUGGGUGAUGAGAGUUUAGUCCGUUCGAAGAUUCCAAGAAACUAAAGAGGAGACGGCAGAUAGGAGCGGAGGAUGGUUUUGAAGGUUACGAAGAAUACAUUGACUACUUGUUCCCAGAAGAAACGCAAGCACCAACUCUGAAGAUACUUGAAGCUGCAUACAAAUGGAAAAAGCAGAAGCAAUCAGCCAUUGAUGAAGAAGAAGAUUAGUUCUCUGUUUAGUUAUUUAGUUCAACAUGAAUUUCUAUAUUUGAAUCUAAUUGAACUUGUA